UCGUUGUUCAUUCGUUGCACGACCAGGUUGUUAAUUUGCUCUCUGGCGAGAACUGUUGAACUAUGAAUAAUUUAGUACGAAACAUGUCAUUGUGAACGAGCCUCACGCUUUGCUCUCUGUGCGAUAGCUACAGAACUGUCAAGUGUUCUACUCUCAUUCGUUUUGUAAAAGCCGACUGAAACACAUCAUAAAAUCAUUCUCUUAAUAAAGUUUUCUCAUUAUUACACUUAUUAUCUUCACCAGUUGGAAUCAGCCGUGUAACCAAAUACUGUCUGUUUUUCUUCAUCUGUUUACUGAUAAUAAUUCCAGCUUGAUUCGCAAUUAGGCAGGAGAAUUAAAAAAAAAAUGGCAAAGAUCGGAAUAAUCACAACCAUUGCACUUAUAAUUAUUUUUGUGUUAUCAGUUUCAUUAUCGAUUGGAGCUACAUCGGCAGAAACGAAGAUUGAAGAAGGGAUUCCCGAGACGUUUUUCGAAAACUUUUUGGAUCCAACACAUCCGCCAGAGGAGCCAAUAUUGAAUUCAUCGGAUGAAGAAAGUGAUUCGAAGUUUUUUUCAGAAGAGUUCACACAAUGACGAGAAGGACUUACUGAAUAGCGAUGAACUCGAGAAAAUAAAACUCAAAACUGUCUCACUGGACACAUUCUGAUUCUCACAAUAAACAAAUGUUCAAAUAAAAAAGCGUACAAAUGGUACAUUAAAA
Molecule: long non-coding RNA, 700 nt
Organism: Sitodiplosis mosellana (orange wheat blossom midge)
Lineage: Eukaryota; Metazoa; Arthropoda; Insecta; Diptera; Cecidomyiidae
Exons: 2
Source: RefSeq, a predicted model, not a curated record